CCUCUGUUUUUUUUUUCCUUAUACUUCCUUUCAGACCAUUUUACUUUCAGAAAAUUACUUGUAGAAAUAAUUGCAUCAUGUGUUUCAAAUCUAGUAUGUAAGGCAGAAGGCAGACCUAUUUUUUUCUUCUUAAAACAUAUAUUGGUUUGUGACACGGAUUUGUUUUCGAUUAAUCGAAUUAUGACUAUUGAACAGCUGCAUACUACUGUUGCCUUUAUAUAUCAAAGUUUUGUCCCUUUACAACAAGGUGUUAAACUUGUCAAGUAAAGGAAUCGAUUGUUUGAAAUAAAGGCUUGUUUUCGACUACUGAAUAAAGUGUGCACCAUUUCUACUUUUGAGGUUAAAUUGAUCUCAUUUGGUUAGGAUUUUGAUUGAACAUCACUUGACAUAAGUGUAUGACUGCUAUUUUUGGAAGAAGCAACAGUGUAAGCUUUUGAAAUUGACAAGUGACUUUGUUUAAGCGGGAGGCUUAUGUGGGGGUAGGGGGAUGGGGGUUGACAAAGAUUUAUUUUAGUUUUUUCUUUACUUUUUGUCAGCCAUGCCACUUCUACUAGUUUCAAACCCCGAUAAUUUAAUAGAUUUUUUUUCUUCUUUUUUUCAAAAUCCUGUUCGAAAAAUAUUUUCCAAUGCUGAUGAUCAAAUUCACGAAUUACAUAUGAUGGUCUUGAAGUAUUGAUUCAAGGAACUGACGUUGUUUGUCAUCUUAAUAACGCGUUAUUUAGUUUUCUUUUAUUUGUCUUUGUAAAUUAUUAACCUUUACUGUUUAGUUCAAGUUUGGUAAUAUCCUUUUAUCGUGGCUCGGUACUUAUACAUCCCGCAAAUGUGUUGUUUUGAGGUGGUUAUUUUUAUGUAUUCUUGUCUUUCAUUUUUGCUUAUGUACUUUGUAUAUAUGCUAUGUUUUUUUUUAAAUAUUUGUUUGUUUUAAUAGUGAUACAGAUUAUAAGACAAUGUUGAUUGAUGUACCCCUAUUUUCACAUGUUUACCUAUAAUGUGUGUUUGUUUUGU
This 1005-nucleotide long non-coding RNA is filed under the name Mytilus galloprovincialis (Mediterranean mussel). The record is from RNAcentral. Lineage: Eukaryota; Metazoa; Mollusca; Bivalvia; Mytilida; Mytilidae.